CGCCUAACACAUGCAAGUCGCACGAGAAAGGGAGCAAUCCCCGGUACAGUGUCGCACGGGUGAGUAACACGUAGAUGACCUUCCCUGGAGUGGUGGAUAACCUGCCGAAAGGCGGGCUAAUACAGCAUGGGACCACAUGGUUUUGACCGAGUGGUGAAAGCGGGCCUCUGUUCACAAGCUCGCGCUCUGGGAUGGGUCUGCGGCCCAUCAGCUAGUUGGCGAGGUAACGGCUCACCAAGGCGAAGACGGGUAGCUGGUCUGAGAGGAUGAUCAGCCACACUGGAACUGAGACACGGUCCAGACUCCUACGGGAGGCAGCAGUGGGGAAUAUUGCGCAAUGGGCGAAAGCCUGACGCAGCCACGCCGCGUGAGCGAUGAAGGCCUUCGGGUCGUAAAGCUCUGUGGGGAGAGAAGAAUAAAGCCUGUGAAGAGCAGGCCUUGACGGUAUCUCCUUAGCAAGCACCGGCUAACUCCGUG
RNAcentral lists this ribosomal RNA (477 nucleotides) under uncultured bacterium. RNAcentral describes it as "bacterial SSU rRNA". It matches the Rfam family "Bacterial small subunit ribosomal RNA", at positions 45 to 507 of the family's 1533-position model. The record is from RNAcentral.